ACAUGCAAGUCGAACGGGCCUUCGGGCUAGUGGCGGACGGGUGAGUAACGCGUGGGAAUCUGCCCUCAGGAGGGGGAUAACGGCCGGAAACGGCCGCUAAUACCCCAUAUGCCGAGAGGUGAAAUGAAUUUCGCCUGAGGAUGAGCCCGCGUCUGAUUAGCUAGUUGGUGAGGUAAUGGCUCACCAAGGCAUCGAUCAGUAGCUGGUCUGAGAGGAUGAUCAGCCACACUGGGACUGAGACACGGCCCAGACUCCUACGGGAGGCAGCAGUGGGGAAUUUUCCGCAAUGGGCGCAAGCCUGACGGAGCAACGCCGCGUGAGGGACGAAGGCCUCUGGGCUGUAAACCUCUUUUCUCAAGGAAGAAGACAUGACGGUACUUGAGGAAUAAGCCACGGCUAAUUCCGUGCCAGCAGCCGCGGUAAUACGGGAGUGGCAAGCGUUAUCCGGAAUUAUUGGGCGUAAAGCGUCCGCAGGCGGCCUUGAAAGUCUGUUGUUAAAGCGUGGAGCUCAACUCCAUUUCAGCAAUGGAAACUACAAGGCUAGAGUGUGGUAGGGGCAGAGGGAAUUCCCGGUGUAGCGGUGAAAUGCGUAGAUAUCGGGAAGAACACCAGUGGCGAAGGCGCUCUGCUGGGCCAUAACUGACGCUCAUGGACGAAAGCCAGGGGAGCGAAAGGGAUUAGAUACCCCUGUAGUCCUGGCCGUAAACGAUGAACACUAGGUGUCGGGAGAAUUAACCCUUUCGGUGUCGUAGCCAACGCGUUAAGUGUUCCGCCUGGGGAGUACGCACGCAAGUGUGAAACUCAAAGGAAUUGACGGGGGCCCGCACAAGCGGUGGAGUAUGUGGUUUAAUUCGAUGCAACGCGAAGAACCUUACCAGGGUUUGACAUCCUGCGAAUCCUUUGGAAACUUAGGAGUGCCUUCGGGAGCGCAGUGACAGGUGGUGCAUGGCUGUCGUCAGCUCGUGUCGUGAGAUGUUGGGUUAAGUCCCGCAACGAGCGCAACCCACGUCUUUAGUUGCCAGCAUUUAGUUGGGCACUCUAGAGAGACCGCCGGUGAUAAACCGGAGGAAGGUGUGGAUGACGUCAAGUCAUCAUGCCCCUUACAUCCUGGGCUACACACGUACUACAAUGCUACGGACAAAGGGCAGCAAACUCGCGAGAGCUAGCAAAUCCCAUAAACCGUGGCUCAGUUCAGAUCGUAGGCUGCAACUCGCCUACGUGAAGGAGGAAUCGCUAGUAAUCGCAGGUCAGCAUACUGCGGUGAAUACGUUCCCGGGCCUUGUACACACCGCCCGUCACACCAUGGAAGUUGGCCAUGCCCGAAGUCGUUACUCCAACCCGCAAGGGAGGAGGAC
RNAcentral lists this ribosomal RNA (1355 nucleotides) under Synechococcus sp. LEGE 06315. Its description in RNAcentral is "bacterial SSU rRNA". It matches the Rfam family "Bacterial small subunit ribosomal RNA". The record is from RNAcentral. Lineage: Bacteria; Bacillati; Cyanobacteriota; Cyanophyceae; Synechococcales; Synechococcaceae.